Molecule: ribosomal RNA, 1201 nt
Filed under: Ascomycota sp. L338
Lineage: Eukaryota; Fungi; Ascomycota
Description: eukaryotic LSU rRNA
Source: RNAcentral
GGAUAAAUGUGACAGGUUCGUUGGAACAGCGGAGGGAUCAUUACCGAAGUUGCAAAACUUCCCAAACCCACUGUGAACCUAUACCUUCUGUUGCGUUCGGCGGAAUACGCCCCGGGCGCACCCCCUCAGGGGGUUGUGCCCCGGAACCAGGCGCCCGCCGGGGGACCGAAACCUCUGUAUUUUACCAUUUGAGUACUCUGAGUGUGAUUUACAAAAUCAAAAUUAAAACUUUCAACAACGGAUCUCUUGGCUCUAGCAUCGAUGAAAGAACGCAGCGAAAUGCGAUAAGUAAUGCGAAUUGCAGAAUUCAGUGAAUCAUCGAAUCUUUGAACGCACAUUGCGCCCGCCAGUAUUCUGGCGGGCAUGCCUGUCUGAGCGUCGUUUCGACCCUCGCGCCCGGCGUCUGUCGGGGGCGGUGUUGGGGAUCGGCCACACCCACUCCGGUGGGAGGCCGGCCCCUAAAUCCAGUGGCGACCACGCUGUAGCCUCCCCUGCGUAGUACUAAAACCACCUCGCAGGCGGAGAGCGGUGCGGCCCGCCGUAAAACCCCCAACUUUUACAAGGUCGACCUCAGAUCAGGUAGGAAUACCCGCUGAACUUAAGCAUAUCAAUAAGCGGAGGAAAAGAAACCAACAGGGAUUGCCUCAGUAACGGCGAGUGAAGCGGCAACAGCUCAAAUUUGAAAUCUGGCCCCAGGCCCGAGUUGUAAUUUGCAGAGGAUGUUUCUGGCGAGGUGCCUUCCGAGUUCCCUGGAACGGGACGCCAUAGAGGGUGAGAGCCCCGUACGGUUGGUCGCUAAGCCUCUGUGAAACUCCUUCGACGAGUCGAGUAGUUUGGGAAUGCUGCUCUAAAUGGGAGGUGUACGCCUUCUCAAGCUAAAUACCGGCUAGAGACCGAUAGCGCACAAGUAGAGUGAUCGAAAGAUGAAAAAGCACUUUGAAAAAGAGGGUUAAAUAGUACGUGGAAAUUGUUGAAAGGGAAGCGCUCUUGACCAGACUUGCGCCGGUUGAAUCAUCCACCGUUCUCGGUGGUGCACUUCUGCCGGCUCAGGCCAGCAUCAGUUCGGUCCGGGGGAUAAAGGCUUCGGGAACGUGGCUUCUCUCCGGGGAGUGUUAUAGCCCGUUGCGUAAUACCCUGGGCUGGACUGAAGGUUCCGCGCAUCUGCAUGAUGCGSGAUAAGGUUUAGGACCGUUUUUUAAAA